UGGGGAAUAUUGGGCAAUGGGGGAAACCCUGAUGCAGCGACCCCGCGUGGAGGAAGAAGGUCUUCGGAUUGUAAACUCCUGUUGUUGAGGAAGAUAAUGACGGUACUCAACAAGGAAGUGACGGCUAACUACGUGCCAGCAGCCGCGGUAAAACGUAGGUCACAAGCGUUGUCCGGAAUUACUGGGUGUAAAGGGAGCGCAGGCGGGAAGACAAGUUGGAAGUGAAAUCUAUGGGCUCAACCCAUAAACUGCUUUCAAAACUGUUUUUCUUGAGUAGUGCAGAGGUAGGCGGAAUUCCCGGUGUAGCGGUGGAAUGCGUAGAUAUCGGGAGGAACACCAGUGGCGAAGGCGGCCUACUGGGCACCAACUGACGCUGAGGCUCGAAAGUGUGGGUAGCAAACAGGAUUAGAUACCCUGGUAGUCCACACCGUAAACGAUGAUUACUAGGUGUUGGAGGAUUGACCCCUUCAGUGCCGCAGUUAACACAAUAAGUAAUCCACCUGGGGAGUACGACCGCAAGGUUGAAACUCAAAGGAAUUGACGGGGGCCCGCACAAGCAGUGGAGUAUGUGGUUUAAUUCGACGCAACGCGAAGAACCUUACCAAGUCUUGACAUCCGUUGACCGACAUAGAAAUAUGUUUUUCCUUCGGGACAGCGAGACAGGUGGUGCAUGGUUGUCGUCAGCUCGUGUCGUGAGAUGUUGGGUUAAGUCCCGCAACGAGCGCAACCCUUAUGGUCAGUUACUACGCAAGAGGACUCUGGCCAGACUGCCGUUGACAAAACGGAGGAAGGUGGGGAUGACGUCAAAUCAUCAUGCCCUUUAUGACUUGGGCUACACACGUACUACAAUGGCGUUAAACAAAGAGAAGCAAGACCGCGAGGUGGAGCAAAACUCAGAAACAACGUCCCAGUUCGGACUGCAGGCUGCAACUCGCCUGCACGAAGUCGGAAUUGCUAGUAAUCGUGGAUCAGCAUGCCACGGUGAAUACGUUCCC
Molecule: ribosomal RNA, 995 nt
Filed under: uncultured bacterium
Lineage: Bacteria
Description: bacterial SSU rRNA
Rfam family: Bacterial small subunit ribosomal RNA
Source: RNAcentral